This 500-nucleotide ribosomal RNA is filed under the name uncultured Myrionecta. RNAcentral describes it as "bacterial SSU rRNA". It matches the Rfam family "Eukaryotic small subunit ribosomal RNA", at positions 1215 to 1804 of the family's 1831-position model. The record is from RNAcentral. Lineage: Eukaryota; Ciliophora; Litostomatea; Cyclotrichida; Mesodiniidae.
UUACCAGGUCAAGACAUGGGCGUGAUUGACAGGAUAAUGACUUUUCUCGAUUCCAUGGAUGGUGGUGCAUGGUCGCACUUAGUUGGUGCAGUGAUUUGUCAGGUUUAUUCCGGUAACGAACGAGACCUCGGCCUUGUAAAUAGAUAUGAUGCUUACAGGGACAUUGGCGGCUACGCCAAGGAAGCUCGAGGCAAUUGCAGAUCUGGAAUGCCCUUAGAUGUCCUGGGUCGCACGCGUGAUACAAUGACGCCACGAACGAGCUUGCGUGAUGAAAGUUACGCAUAAUCAGCAGUCGGCGUCUUAAGGGAUAGUCUCUUGUAACUGUGGGACUCCAACUAGGAAUGUCUCGUAAGCCCAAGUCAACAUCUUGUGUUGAUUACGUCCCUGCUAUUUGUACACACCGACCGUCGCUCCUACCGAUCGAGUGUUUAGGUGAAUCUGAUGGACGUAAGGAAGUCAAAUAAACUGAGCACUAGAGAAGAGAAGUCGAGAUGCCGAUU